This 337-nucleotide unclassified non-coding RNA is filed under the name uncultured fungus. RNAcentral's name for it is "sequence contains ITS1". The stretch from base 1 to 103 matches the Rfam family "5.8S ribosomal RNA", at positions 50 to 154 of the family's 154-position model. Lineage: Eukaryota; Fungi. The record is from RNAcentral.
GAAGUGCGAUAAGCAAUGCGAAUUGCAGAACCGUGAGUCAUCAGAUUUUUGAACGCAACUGGCGCCGGCUGGUACUCCAACCGGCAUGCUUGUUUCAGUGUCUCGUUUUCUCCUCACCCAAACCUUAAUGCUGGAGAUACCCUUCUCUUGCUAAACAGGAAAGCAUUCUGCACUUUGCAAGUGUUCUCAGUUUACUGAGUCACACUCAAUGCAGCCCUCACAUUGCACACAAUGUGAACUCAUUGAGAGUCGAGGCAGUGUUGCGCAAGCAACGAAUGCUUAGCCAUUCAAACUUUAUCUGUAUCUGAAAUCAAGCAGGACCACCCGCUGAACUUAA